CGGCGUGCUUAACACAUGCAAGUCGAGCGAAGGCUCUUCGGGGUACGUCGAGCGGCGAACGGGUGAGUAACACGUGAGUAAUCUGCCCUUGGCUUUGGGAUAAGCCCGGAAACGGGGUCUAAUACCGGAUACGACGCACUCUCGCAUGGGAUGUGUGUGGAAAGUUUUUCGGCCAGGGAUGUGCUCGCGGCCUAUCAGCUUGUUGGUGGGGUAAUGGCCUACCAAGGCUUCGACGGGUAGCCGGCCUGAGAGGGUGACCGGCCACACUGGGACUGAGACACGGCCCAGACUCCUACGGGAGGCAGCAGUGGGGAAUAUUGGACAAUGGGCGGAAGCCUGAUCCAGCAACGCCGCGUGAGGGAUGACGGCCUUCGGGUUGUAAACCUCUUUCAGUACCGACGAAGCGCCGAUGAUGGUGGUGACGGUAGGUACAGAAGAAGCACCGGCCAACUACGUG
This 457-nucleotide ribosomal RNA is filed under the name uncultured bacterium. RNAcentral describes it as "bacterial SSU rRNA". It matches the Rfam family "Bacterial small subunit ribosomal RNA", at positions 40 to 507 of the family's 1533-position model. The record is from RNAcentral.